UUCACCUUCCACGCAAUUCACAUUGCAGAUCUGUUCGCUGCACCGCUGUUGUCACGCGUUCUGGUUUGAUCUGCCGCCCGCCGCCUCUGUUUCUCCUUCAGGUGGCAGUUGGGAGUGCAAGGAAGGAUCUGUGAUCUGUUUUUCUUUGGCUCUCUCUCUCAGAUAUGGUUUUCUAAGGUGGUGUUGAGAGUAGAUCUAGAUAAAUGGGU
This 209-nucleotide long non-coding RNA is filed under the name Carica papaya (papaya). RNAcentral's name for it is "long non-coding RNA (CPAP_LNC011699)". The record is from RNAcentral. Lineage: Eukaryota; Viridiplantae; Streptophyta; Magnoliopsida; Brassicales; Caricaceae.